This is a long non-coding RNA of Centrocercus urophasianus (Greater sage-grouse), 2166 nucleotides long. RefSeq lists it as uncharacterized. The transcript has 4 exons. NCBI's taxonomy places the organism in Eukaryota, Metazoa, Chordata, Aves, Galliformes, Phasianidae. The record is from RefSeq and is a predicted model, not a curated record.
GUGGCAGGGAAGUUGGAGAUUCAUGAUCCUUGAGGUCCCUUCCAACCCAAGCCACUCUGUGAUUCUGUGAUCCGUUCCUCCUCAUGGAUUUCAGAAAGUGCUAUAAGUAUUGGGUCAAAGACCCCUUGGUGCCUGUGGUCAACUUCCCUUGGCAAAGCUGCCUUCACCUAAAUUAUGGUGUAGUAUCCCAUUCAUCUUACCAUUGGUUUGUGUCCAAGACCCAGUAAUGGUGAUGCAAGAGCUGCUCUCCAAAGCCAUUUCUUCUCACUUGACCCAAAGCAUGUCCUGGUUGAGGAACCAGGCGACUCCCAUCAGUGUCAAGAAGGGGAUUAGGCACACACAUGGGGCUUGCUGGAGAACUGCCCCAGAGAAAAGGAUGCCAACAUGAUGGGACCUUGAGCACCCCACCUAACGGGAAACAUUCCCCACUCUCCUCUCAAGCUGUGAAUUUAACAGUACAGGCCCUCAGUGUCAGCAUCUACAAGCUGUCUCGGAGAUCUUUCCAUGCCUACUCCAAACAGCGAUGUUACCAACUUCAGUAACACUCUGUGCCAAUUUCCAAAUAUAGAUCACACGACAGUGGGGACAGAUGUGUCCUGAAAUUCCCAUUCUCACACUUCCCUCUCUCCAGCCAGCACUGCAAGACAUGAGAACACAGCCUUGCUGUCUGCCCUUUGGUGUCACUUCAUCCAGGACUUUACUGUCACCUCGCUGCCUCACUCACACUGUGGGAAGGAGAGGACCUAGAGAUCCCCUUUGGCCAACAUGAGGAGAGCUUUCAGCUGGCAAGCAGGGAGUACAGGCACUGAACCACACAGGAGUUCAGCACUAAGCCUCACCAGCAAGCAGAGGAAGGGUUGAAAAGUGCACCUUAAUCUGCAGAAGAAAGGAAACACCUGAACCAUUCACCAGCAGGGACUCUGGUGAGGACUGGACUCACAACUGCACUUUUGAGCAAGCAGAGAUAGGAAAGGAACAACGGGAGGCCAAAGGAUUCAGGUCAGUUCAAAGUUUUGCGCACCUGUUGCUGUAGGUCACAGCUGCUGAGAAUAGGGCAAACCACAGGGAAAAGAAGAUCGUAAAAUGUAAGAUGCAGUUAAAAAAAUGUUUUGGAAUGUUUUACUAUUCCUAAUUCAGUACUUCUAAAAGCCAGCGUGUUCUUUUCUCCCCAUGAAGUCCCCACGUGGUUCCAGAGCUCAGCUGGGAUACUUGUACUGAGCUCUUGUGGGAUAAGUGCACAGGGAAGUGCAGACAAACUUUGGUACAUCUUUAGCUUUAGUGGGAAUGCUUUUAGAGCCUAUGUUCAGCUUUACGACCUUCCAGGACUACCAGACUACCUUCCAGGACGACUCCCAGUUCAGUGUCACCCCUGCUCCACGUAGGCCUGCUUUCUGCACUUCCUUAAGCCAUUCGUAGCAAGCAGGUCAGACAAUGAGAAAUGGAAACAGCCUGACAGCUAAUGUGAUUUGUGUAAUGGGAUGAAACAGCCUCCAGUAUCCAUCCUCAGGGAUCACAGGAGGAAGGUUGCCCUUUAUCCCCCUCUGUUUGAGUUUCAGCAACAAAAAUUUUGGAUGAAGCUUUGUCAGCAAAUGUGCCUCGGCACCCAUUCCCACUUCGAAGUAUUUGCCAAGAAAAUGUUCCCUGCUCUCCUGAAAGGUCAACAUCAGGGAUGGAUAACAAGAUGCCUCUACACCCAGGAGGAACCUGGCCAUCUUUUCCAAAUUUGCAGAAACCAGUUUCGGGGUCCCUGCACUUUCUUCAGGUCCGGAUCACAGCCACGCAAAGAGAACACUAGAUAUCAUGCUCACAGUGGACCACUGCAUCCCACGCUGCUACUGCUAGCACAGGUGUACCCGGAAAGCACUGAUCUGCGUCCCCAGAUGUGUUAUGCCGACAGCUUUUGACUACACACAUUGCUACAUGCUAGAUCUGUAUUUAAAGCUCAAGUGGGAAGCAAGCUCACAGGGUUUUACCCUGAAUGCCCAUCGUAUUGGCCAGAGGUUAGCAGACCAACUAAGGGUUACAAUUGGUAAUGCCUGAAUUUCAGUAGUGUUGCUACCCACAGCUUGCAGGUUUCUUAGAAAGUUUAUGUUAGUAAGCAGAGACAUAUAAUUUACUACUGUCUAUAGCUUAACAUUUGAUAAUAAAAUAUAAAUUAAAGAGAAA